Molecule: ribosomal RNA, 497 nt
Filed under: uncultured bacterium
Lineage: Bacteria
Description: partial 16S ribosomal RNA
Rfam family: Bacterial small subunit ribosomal RNA
Source: RNAcentral
GAUGAACGCUGGCGGCGUGCCUAAUACAUGCAAGUCGAGCGAACAGACGAGGAGCUUUCUCCUCUGACGUUAGCGGCGGACGGGGGAGUAACACGUGGAUAACCCACCUAUAUGACUGGGAUAACUGCGGGAAACCGGAGCUUAUAACGGCUAAUAUAUUAAACCGCAUGGUUCAAUAGUGAAAGACGGUUUUGCUGUCACUUAUAGAUUGAUCCACGCCGCAUUAGCUAGUUGGUAAGGUAACGGCUUACCAAGGCAACGAUGCGUAGCCGACCUGAGAGGGUGAUCGGCCACACUGGAACUGAGACACGGUCCAGACUCCUACGGGAGGCAGCAGUAGGGAAUCUUCCGCAAUGGGCGAAAGCCUGACGGAGCAACGCCGCGUGAGUGAUGAAGGUCUUCGGAUCGUAAAACUCUGUUAUUAGGGAAGAAAAACUGUGUAAGUAACUAUGCACGUCUUGACGGUACCUAAUCAGAAAGCCACGGCUAACUACGUG